UAACAGCGUCAUUUGGUAAUACAUCUCGGUGAGGUUUAGCGAUGGUCCAUAUUUGGUCCUAAUAACUUCAACAGAAACAAGAGGCAGGCAUGUCAAAAAAAUGUUGGAAGAAAAAAAAGAAAAAAAAAAAGAAAAAGAAAAAAAAACAUUAGAAAAACAAUAAGGUCUUUCCCAUGUAGGGGAAAGACCUUAAAAAGAAAAAGAAAAAGAAAAAAAAACAUUAGAAAAACAAUAAGGUCUUUCCUCACGUAGGGGAAAGACCUUAAUUA
RNAcentral lists this long non-coding RNA (269 nucleotides) under Mytilus galloprovincialis (Mediterranean mussel). Lineage: Eukaryota; Metazoa; Mollusca; Bivalvia; Mytilida; Mytilidae. The record is from RNAcentral.